RNAcentral lists this ribosomal RNA (515 nucleotides) under uncultured bacterium. RNAcentral describes it as "partial 16S ribosomal RNA". It matches the Rfam family "Bacterial small subunit ribosomal RNA", at positions 28 to 523 of the family's 1533-position model. The record is from RNAcentral.
GAUGAACGCUGGCGGCGUGCCUAAUACAUGCAAGUCGAGCGAAUGGAUUAAGAGCUUGCUCUUAUGAAGUUAGCGGCGGACGGGUGAGUAACACGUGAGUAACCUGCCCAUGAGACUGGGAUAACUCCGGGAAACCGGGGCUAAUACCGGAUAACAUUUUGAACCGCAUGGUUCGAAAUUGAAAGGCGGCUUCGGAUGUCACUUAUGGCUGGACCCGCGUCGCAUUAGCUAGUUGGUGAGGUAACGGCUCACCAAGGCAACGAUGCGUAGCCGACCUGAGAGGGUGAUCGGCCACACUGGGACUGAGACACGGCCCAGACUCCUACGGGAGGCAGCAGUAGGGAAUCUUCCGCAAUGGACGAAAGUCUGACGGAGCAACGCCGCGUGAGUGAUGAAGGCUUUCGGGUCGUAAAACUCUGUUGUUAGGGAAGAACAAGUGCUAGUUGAAUAAGCUGGCACCUUGACGGUACCUAACCAGAAAGCCACGGCUAACUACGUGCCAGCAGCCGCCGUAA